Molecule: ribosomal RNA, 589 nt
Filed under: uncultured archaeon
Lineage: Archaea
Description: bacterial SSU rRNA
Rfam family: Archaeal small subunit ribosomal RNA
Source: RNAcentral
AGACUCUGGUGUUGCGUUUAUCACGAAUAAACGCAGUACCGUAGGACAACUGUUAAGUCUGCCGCCUGGGGAGUACGGCCGCAAGGUUGAAACUUAAAGCAAUUGGCGGGGGAGCACACAAGGGGUGGAUGCUACGGUUCAAUUGAAUUCAACGUCGGGAACUUUACCUGGAGCGACGGCAGUGUGAAGGUCAAGCUAAUGACUUUGCCUGACAAGCCGAGAGGUGGUGCAUGGCGAUCGUCAGUUCGUGGUGUGAACUCUCCGGUUAAGUCCGGUAACGAACGAGAUCCUCGUUGACAGUUGCUACCGUUCCAGAGAUGGGACGGGCACUCUGUCGAGACCGCCUGCGUUUAAGCAGGAGGAAGGAGAGGGCGACGGUACGUCAGUAUGCCCCGAACCUCCAGGGCUACACGCGGCAUACAGAGGUUGGUACAAUGGGUCGCUACCCAGAGAUGGGACGCUAAUCCCCUAAAACCAAUCCAGGUUCGAAUUGAGGGUUGAAACUCACCCUCAUGAAGUUGGAAUCCCUAGUAAUCGCGUGUCAUCAACUCGCGGUGAAUGUGUCCCCGCUCCUUGCACUCACCGCCCG